Molecule: long non-coding RNA, 628 nt
Filed under: Mus musculus (house mouse)
Lineage: Eukaryota; Metazoa; Chordata; Mammalia; Rodentia; Muridae
Description: predicted gene, 30624
Source: RNAcentral
GCCGGAGAAACUCAGGCAGCUGGCAGUUUGACUCUUAAGCACCAGCAUGGUAGACACCAGCCUCCCCUCUCAGUCCUGCGGGCCGUGAAGUGGUGAUAAUAACACACUCUGAGCAGCUGGAGAUUUCUCUGGAGCCAGACUACAGGGGAGACCAUGAAGAAGAAAAUACAGAUGAAACAGGAAGAGCUGAGAAUGCUCCCCUAUGGAGAUGAGCUAGCCCGUUUCCCCUGUCAGCUGGAAUAAGAGCGUGUUUCCAGGAUGCUGUAUACCGCCAUCAGAGCUUAUGACCCACCUGAUUGCAGUAUGAGUGCCUGCGGCUUCUUCCUUCCCCAUGGCCCCAGACAGCCUCAGUGAUUGACCUGUCACCUGUCACCUGUCACCUGUCACCUGUGGCCUGUCACCUGUCACCUGUCACCUGUCACCUGUGGCCUAUGGCCUUGUGUGAACCAUCUUUCAUCUUAGGAAGAGAAAAAGGAAGAGGAAAACAUAGGAAGCACAGAUGAGGGCAGCCCUCCCUGCUCUCAGUCUUACAUAUUGAAAAAAAAAAGCACACCUGCAAAAAUGGGACUUCGUCCAUUAAGGAAGGACAUAACAGCCACGGAGUGUUCUGCCUCACAGCUCUGAGCAA